RNAcentral lists this non-coding RNA (28 nucleotides) under Cricetulus griseus (Chinese hamster). The record is from RNAcentral. Lineage: Eukaryota; Metazoa; Chordata; Mammalia; Rodentia; Cricetidae.
UUGCCUAUCUUAGGUAGUUACGCUGUGC